GAUGAACGCUGGCGGCGUGCCUAAUACAUGCAAGUCGAGCGAACAGACGAGGAGCUUGCUCCUCUGACGUUAGCGGCGGACGGGUGAGUAACACGUGGAUAACCUACCUAUAAGACUGGGAUAACUUCGGGAAACCGGAGCUAAUACCGGAUAAUAUAUUGAACCGCAUGGUUCAAUAGUGAAAGACGGUUUUGCUGUCACUUAUAGAUGGAUCCGCGCCGCAUUAGCUAGUUGGUAAGGUAACGGCUUACCAAGGCAACGAUGCGUAGCCGACCUGGGAGGGUGAUGGGCGACACUGGGACUGAGACACGGUCCAGGCUCCUACGGAAGGCAGCAGUAGGGAAUCUUCCGCGAUGGGCGAAAGCCUGACGGAGCAGCGCCGCGUGGGUGAUGAGGGUCUUCGGAUCGUAAGACUCUGUUAUUAGGGAAGACCAAUUGUGUAAGUAACUAUGCACGUCUUGACGGUACCUAGUCAGAAAGCCACGGCUAACUACGUG
This 497-nucleotide ribosomal RNA is filed under the name uncultured bacterium. RNAcentral's name for it is "partial 16S ribosomal RNA". It matches the Rfam family "Bacterial small subunit ribosomal RNA", at positions 28 to 507 of the family's 1533-position model. The record is from RNAcentral.